AAAUGUUUUACAAAACACGGGAUAAUGAGGGCUUUUUUUAAGGAAAAUGUCUUACUUUUUUGAAAUCGGUAAGACAUUUUCCAGAAAUUGACACUUCUUCUCCCCUUUCCCCUUCUUCUUCCCCUUCCCCUUCCCCUUCCCCUUCCCCUUUUGAAAUCGGUAAGCCAUUUUCAAUGUUGAAGAAGCCAUUUUCAAUGUUGGCUUAUCUUAGGCCACGACUGAGACGAUGGCUUGAAACCCGGGUAGAAAUAAGACCAAUCGAAAACCUUGGAAGCAACAAAUCACAAGGGCAUAAGCUGUUGAAUAAGCUGUAGGUCUUGAGGCAGAUGUGGCAUCUUCUGAACCACCGGGGAAUCAGCUGUGGGUCUUGAGGCAGAUGGGGCAUAUUUUAAUACUUCCCACCAUGGUGGGCGUUGCAGAAAUAGUGGACUUCUGUGAUUUUCUAUCCCCUACUCCCGAAGAGCAAGCAGCACGUGAUGCAGCUGUACAUUCUGUUUUUUAUGUUAUCAAGUACAUAUGGCCUGCCUGCAAGGUAAUGAUUCUAGAGUCAGGUAUAAAAAAUCCACAGACUGGUUUGUAUGCUCUUUUCAGAGUAUUAUCUCAAAGGGGAAUUGCAAAAAAGAUACAGGUGAUUGCAAAAGCUAGCGUGCCAAUAAUUAAGUUUGUAGAAAAGAAAAGCGAUGCCGCAUUUGAUAUAAGCUUUGAUGUGGAUAAUGGACCAAAAGCUGCUGAGUUUAUCAAGGAAGAGUACUAAAAUGGCCUCAAUUAUGACCAUUGUGUUUGAUCUUGAAAGUAUUUUUACAACAGAGAGACCUGAAUGAGGUAUAUUCAAGUGGAAUAGGUUCAUAUGCUCUCCUUGCAAUGAUCGUAGCCAUGUUGCAGAAAGUUUAGAGAGGUGGUUGAUGCAGCUUUGGAGGCUCAUCUGCACUGUCCGCAGUUAUAUCUUUAUAGCAUAGAUGAUAAGGUCGUUCCGUAUAACACUGUCCCCCUUCUUCUGUUGUCAAAACCCCAACAGAUGUGAUUUGUAGCUCUUCCAUUUAGCAUUGAUGACCAGCUCAAGGCUCGACAUUGCACGUUCUACAUGGUGGCCAUAGGCUAUUUCAGUUACUAGCCAACAGCUAGUUUUAGUUUUAAAGUUAUUUGGUGCUAGCAAUGCUUACAUUGAGUUACUGAUGACAAACAUUUGAAAUAACAUGCAUUAAGACGCAAAGACAUUGAGAAAAAGGGUAUUGUAAAUAUUUCAUUAAAGAGAUUUGAAAGAAGAAUGGAUAGUUCUGUACUUAUGUCAAACUUAUUUAUACAUGCUUUUUUUCUCUUUAUGUAUUUGGCAUUAUGGAUCUAUUUGUCAGAAUUCAUAAAUUAAAGCUAGUCCAAGAUUGUGAAUUUAUGGUUUA
Molecule: RNA transcript, 1394 nt
Organism: Gossypium arboreum
Lineage: Eukaryota; Viridiplantae; Streptophyta; Magnoliopsida; Malvales; Malvaceae
Exons: 7
Source: RefSeq, a predicted model, not a curated record